AGCAGCCGCGGUAAUUCCAGCUCCAAUAGCGUAUAUUAAAGUUGUUGCAGUUAAAAAGCUCGUAGUUGAACUUCGGGGUUUACUCAUUGGUCAGGCUUAAUUGUCUGUACUGGUGAGAUGAAUCUCUACCUUCUGAGGAACUUUCAUGCCAUUUAUUUGGUGUGAUUGGAAAUCAGGACUGUUACUUUGAAAAAAUUAGAGUGUUUAAAGCAGGCUAACGUCUGAAUACAUUAGCAUGGAAUAAUGAAAUAGGACGGAUUGAUUCUAUUUCGUUGGUUUCUAGGGUCACCGUAAUGAUUAAUAGGGAUAGUUGGGGGCAUUAGUAUUCAAUUGUCAGAGGUGAAAUUCUUGGAUUUAUUGAAGACUAACUACUGCGAAAGCAUUUGCCAAGGAUGUUUUCAUUAAUCAAGAACGAAAGUUAGGGGAUCGAAGACGAUCAGAUACCGUCGUAGUCUUAACCAUAAACUAUGCCGACUAGGGAUCGGACGAAGUUAAUUAAUAAUGACGCGUUCGGCACCUU
RNAcentral lists this unclassified non-coding RNA (520 nucleotides) under uncultured Glomus. RNAcentral describes it as "SSU rRNA". It matches the Rfam family "Eukaryotic small subunit ribosomal RNA", at positions 569 to 1089 of the family's 1831-position model. The record is from RNAcentral. Lineage: Eukaryota; Fungi; Glomeromycota; Glomeromycetes; Glomerales; Glomeraceae. RNAcentral also lists the same sequence under 1 other name.